This 72-nucleotide transfer RNA is filed under the name Chelonia mydas (Green sea turtle). It matches the Rfam family "tRNA". Rfam says of the family: Transfer RNA (tRNA) molecules are approximately 80 nucleotides in length. Their secondary structure includes four short double-helical elements and three loops (D, anti-codon, and T loops). The record is from Rfam by way of RNAcentral. Lineage: Eukaryota; Metazoa; Chordata; Testudines; Cheloniidae.
GGUAGUGUGGGCUAGUGGUUAGAGCACUGGACUGGUACUUUGGAGAUCUGUGUUCAAUUCCCAGCUCUGCUG